GGUGUCUGCGUCUAUAUGUGCGUAUGAGCUCGCCUGACCGCUAGUGCAUCCUGGCCGCCUAGUGGCCGCUGGUGCAUUCUGGGGCUGCACUAGGCAGCCGAAAACCUCCGCAAAUGCUAUCAAGAGUGCUGACGGGGCUCCCCUUAGUGUCUGUCCGAAUGAGGAUGGCUUUCUUCUUCUCUGCAUGAAAAGCAGGCCGAGGAAUAAGGAGCAGGGCUAAGAUGUGGCUGUUAGCCUGCCUGCUGGUUAAUACCAGCAUCGUCCCGAGAUGAUAGGGCAUGGAUUAUAUGGGCCUUAAAGCUGCCCUGGUAGCCUGGCCGUUAUCAAGACGCCUCUGUUAAAGUCCCGCUGAUUCAAUCGUUGGACAUGCGGGACAGUACAUGUUUUGGCAUCGGGAGACGGGGAGAAACCCACCGGACUUUUCGCGAGUAGGGGUAAAAGUUUUAUAAUUCCGGGAAGACCACCAGUGGCGUAGGCGGUUGGCCUAGCACUCGCCUCGACGGUGAGGGACGAAAGCCUGGGGGAGCGAACCAGAUAAUACCCGGGUAGUCCCAGCGUGUAACGAUCGGACUUAUGUGUUGGAGCGGCUCUAGCCGCUUCAGUGCCGUAGGGAAGCCAUUAAGCUGCCGCUUGGUGAGUCCGGACGCCAGGAUGAACUAAGGAAUUGGUGGGCAGCCCAAAGGCCUGAAGCUUGCGUCUUAAUUGCAGUCACUCGGACCUUUCCUGGGGCACAGCAGAUUGAAGGCUAAAUUAAGCUUCCAGACUACUAGAGGAGUGUAUGCUUCCCUG
This 789-nucleotide ribosomal RNA is filed under the name uncultured archaeon. Its description in RNAcentral is "partial 16S ribosomal RNA". The stretch from base 240 to 789 matches the Rfam family "Archaeal small subunit ribosomal RNA", at positions 1 to 1004 of the family's 1478-position model. The record is from RNAcentral.